UUUAAAGCUAUGUAAGAAGUGUCUACAGUAUUUAUGUAGUGAUUGAAAGCGUGAACAUUUCUGUGGAGUUACUACAACACCUACAACAAUCUAUAGUUCUAGUGAACACUUGAUAAAGAGCAUCGAUAAUAAACCAUUCCAAUGUCGCACUCAUCUGAAGCAAGUCGUCCGUUUUUGUUUUACUUGCACUCUCCAGCUGUGCGAGGAAUGUCUAGAUAACGAUCUUUCUCAGCAUACAAAUCACGUGAUAUACAACGUAGAUAACGCUGCUAAAGAGAUACGAAGACAAACAGAUGAAAAAAUCGCAUCACUUAAAGUUAAGAUAGAAAAGGCUAGAAGGCAAAGACAUGACCUUGAUAAACAAAGGUUCAGUUCAACAGACAGACAGAAUACUAGACGACAGGUCACAAACCUCGCCUCUAAUCUUCCUUCCGCCAUAGUCGCCGCUAUUGAAGACCAGGCACGAUUAGAUAAAACAGUAGCUGCCGAAAGUGAACAAAGCUUCAGAAGACUAUUGAUGUUUGGACGGAAACCAAUCGUACACUACAUAAAAUUUCUACAGCACCUCACAACCUAGAAAAUAUCCAUCUUUUCUGUAAAUAUAUAAAAGAUUAUGAAAAUUUAGAUUUACCUUUUAUAAAGACAAGAGCUGAUUUUCCUGAUGAUAGAAAAUUCCAACACUCAGAACUUGUCCAAACCGAGUUAAGAUCAUUAGUGGAAUACUUAGAAGCAUUAACUGGUAUCAAUGUUCCCUUGCCUGUGAAAACGCAAGAAGAAAUAGAAAGAUUGCAACCGCCUAUGAUAGAGAAAUGACAAUGGUUGAUUUGGCUACUAACCCAGCGUCCAGACCACAAUCAAGAGUUAGUAUAAAGACAAACGUGACAGCGACCACCAUGCUGACUUAAUACGAAGAAGAUUCCAUCAUGUAUAUCAAAAGUGAAAAUCAAGCUUUGAAAAUGGA
Molecule: long non-coding RNA, 961 nt
Organism: Mytilus californianus (California mussel)
Lineage: Eukaryota; Metazoa; Mollusca; Bivalvia; Mytilida; Mytilidae
Exons: 3
Source: RefSeq, a predicted model, not a curated record